This 654-nucleotide ribosomal RNA is filed under the name uncultured bacterium. RNAcentral describes it as "bacterial SSU rRNA". It matches the Rfam family "Bacterial small subunit ribosomal RNA", at positions 202 to 842 of the family's 1533-position model. The record is from RNAcentral.
AAAAGGCGGCGUAAGCUGUCGCUAAAGGAUGGACCCGCGGUGCAUUAGCUAGUUGGUAAGGUAACGGCUUACCAAGGCGACGAUGCAUAGCCGAGUUGAGAGACUGAUCGGCCACAUUGGGACUGAGACACGGCCCAAACUCCUACGGGAGGCAGCAGUAGGGAAUCUUCCACAAUGGGCGAAAGCCUGAUGGAGCAACGCCGCGUGAGUGAAGAAGGUUUUCGGAUCGUAAAGCUCUGUUGUUGGUGAAGAAGGAUAGAGGUAGUAACUGGCCCCUAUUUGACGGUAAUCAACCAGAAAGUCACGGCUAACCACGUGCCAGCAGCCGCGGUAAUACGUAGGUGGCAAGCGUUGUCCGGAUUUAUUGGGCGUAAAGCGAGCGCAGGCGGAAAGAUAAGUCUGAUGUGAAAGCCCCCGGCUUAACCGAGGAAUUGCAUCGGAAACUGUGUUUCUUGAGUGCAGAAGAGGAGAGUGGAACUCCAUGUGUAGCGGUGGAAUGCGUAGAUAUAUGGAAGAACACCAGUGGCGAAGGCGGCUCUCUGGUCUGUAACUGACGCUGAGGCUCGAAAGCAUGGGUAGCGAACAGGAUUAGAUACCCUGGUAGUCCAUGCCGUAAACGAUGAGUGCUAAGUGUUGGGAGGUUUCCGCCUCUCA